Molecule: ribosomal RNA, 458 nt
Filed under: uncultured bacterium
Lineage: Bacteria
Description: partial 16S ribosomal RNA
Rfam family: Bacterial small subunit ribosomal RNA
Source: RNAcentral
CCUACGGGGGGCAGCAGUGGGGAAUAUUGCACAAUGGGGGAAACCCUGAUGCAGCGACGCCGCGUGAGUGAAGAAGUAAUUCGUUACGUAAAGCUCUAUCAGCAGGGAAGAAACACUGACCUUACGGUCAGCAGACGGUACCUGAGUAAGAAGCACCGGCUAACUACGUGCCAGCAGCCGCGGUAAUACGUAGGGGGCAAGCGUUAUCCGGAUUUACUGGGUGUAAAGGGAGCGUAGACGGUGCGCCAAGUCUGGAGUGAAAUGCCGCAGCUUAACUGCGGAACUGCUUUGGAAACUGGCGAACUAGAGUGCGGGAGGGGUAAGCGGAAUUCCUAGGGUAGCGGUGAAAUGCGUAGAUAUUAGGAGGAACACCGGUGGCGAAGGCGGCUUACUGGACCGUAACUGACGUUGAGGCUCGAAAGCGUGGGGAGCAAACAGGAUUAGAUACCCCAGUAGUC